GGAAAAUGACACUGAACCUUUUAACCUGGCACCCCAGAAUGCCACCUCUUUGAGGCAGAACCAGGGGCUCAACACCCAACAGGACAUUUUAUUGCAGCAGAAUGGUGCUGGGAAGCCAUCACUAAUUCUUCAAAGAACACAUUUUCAAAAUGAUGAGUAUGGGUGUUUAGGUGUCUCCUUACAGCCAGUGAAAUGACUUCCUAAGCUGAAGCUGUCCAAACCUUCUAAAGCCAGAUGCUGUUACUCCUCCUGGACCAGGCCAGGCUAGGCUGCCCAGAAAUGGUCCUCCCUGAUUAUGGAGUGCCCAUGUUCAGGGCCUAAAGUCAAUCUCGUUCAGACAGGGAGGGAGGGAGAACUCUGGGAGGCCAUGAUCCUUUUGCCAUUGGAAGCUCAGGUAGAGCCAAACAGAGCCUCUGUUCUAAGGUCUUGGGCCUUCUGGCAGACUUUCUGGGUUGUAGGGCUCACUGUGGACAAUAUCUAGAAAGAAUGAGGCAACCCUGCAUUUACCUCAGGUGCCAUCAUCCUCUAAGGCUCUGGCUUGGUUGCCUGGCUUGGCAGAACUUUGUGCGCUCGGAAUAUUCCAGUAGAUGGUACCUAGCAGCCUUCAGGGUUCCAAUAACAGAAGGCCAGAUGCCAUAGAACUGGCUAGAGAGAAAAAAAAUAAUCUCAGCAAUUUAAUUUUUAAUUUAUUAUUUUUUCAGGGAAGCUAUCUGGUGGCUGUACAUGACCUACACCAGGAAGUCUGUAGUAGUUGCAGGCCACUGAAAAUCAGCCUUCUGGCUUCCACGCUGGCAAGCCACAGUACAAUAGUAGGCAUGCAGUCUCUGCCCUCUCUGAGACCCAAAAUGCUUGGGCCAAAUAGCAGGAAGAGGCAGUUAGCCUUGCCAGGGCAGUUCUCUGGGCUGAAAAUGGGGGCUUGAGAGGUGAUUUUGUCUUCUCCAACAUGUGACUAUGAAACAAGGGUCCUGGUUUUUGCAUGUGUGGUAGAUAGGUAAGGGCCUCGGCAGGAACUGGAGUGGAGUCUGUGUUCAUUUUAGGACUCUGGUUUGUUAUUGUCUUUUUGGUUCCUUUAGAGUAUCCCCUGAAGCCAGGAGGUAAUGAUGCUGGCUUUAAUUAUAGGAAGAAAAAUCAUUUCUAAUGUAAAUCAAUUUGCCAUAGUAAAUGUACUAGGGCAGAAAUUCGCUCUUGUCCUUUGGAAAGUCUCUGUGAUCCCAAGGUUUACUCUGAUAUUAGUUGUUAGGGCCACCCUUAAUUUUUAUAGCAUUCAUGGUAGACUAAAGCUUUUCAUGAAAUAAAUGCAAUAUGGCCUGGCUGAAAACCACGCAGACAAAAACUGAUCUGGAAGUUUCUUUGCUUCCCUUGUCUCCACUUUCUACCCAGCAGCUAUUAUUGUCCCACCUCUGAGCAGGGCCUGCUCUUGCUCUGGGCCUUCCCAGGUUAGAUGGGAAAGUGAAGUCUGCCUACAUGAAGAUGUCACCCAAUCCAUCACUAGGUCCUUCUUCAGCCCUGGCCUCUUUCUAGUCCUUCUCUCCCUUGCUAGCAUUUUGGUUGUUUACCUCCAUCCGCCAUGCACUCCCCUUUCACCCUCACCCUUUAAACAUUCUUCAUUCACAUUGUCUUCCCUUGGUGUCAGCACUGGGCUUGGAGGUGCAAGGUCAUUAUAUGACCCAAAUAGCUGUUCUGGGAGAGCUCUGUUGAUGACGCUUGAGAAACUGUCAGAAUUCAGAAUCAGUUGAUCAUGAGUCCACAGGGCUGGCUCCUGUGCACCUGUUCACUGAGGUCUGAAAAAAGCAACAUCAACAUGGCAUGACAAGAUUCUGAACAUGGCAUUGCUUCAACCGUACUGAACAUCGCCACUCUGGUCCAGUGUUGGAGAGAUGGUCACGUGAGUUCCUAGACAUCCCACUAAGUGUUGGAUGGGGCAUGUGGGUGGGGUGUGGCUCACUUGUGGGAAUUAGUGACCAACAAGACCCAUCUUCAGAGGCCUCCUGUGAGCUUGGGGGGACCAGGAGGGAGCAGGGAGCUGGGGGGAGAGUGCUAGGAGGUGCACUCAGCCCAGCACAUAGAAAUGUUUGUGCAAGACUGUUUCCUUUUUAACACUGAAACAACAACAACAACAGUAAUAAAAACAGUUCUCUCUUUAAACUAUCUAGCAAAGACUAUGUUGGCUUGUUUGAUUCCAUGUCCUGCAGAGAACUGAACUAAGUGAUGUUUUUUGGUUCUGGACUUUCUCCAUCCAGCCAAGAUUCCUUUUGAAGAAAGCCUUUGCUCUGGCAGCCAACCUCCAAGGCCCCCAUGUUCUGGCAGCAGCAGCUGCUUCCCCCCAAGCACUGUGGGAGUGCUUUGAGUCCUAAUGGCUGAAGAUCCAUGAGCAGGCCUCAGGGAUAGAUGCUGACCAUUGCUCUGAUUCUGAGUCUUCAGGUGGCUGUGGACAACCUCUUGGAGAUGAUGCCAGACUCCAGCAAACAGUUUGUCCCAAGAAGACUCCCAGGAGAAAAGGCCAAAGGAGAUGGGUUCCCUGGAGGCCCAGCUGGCUGGCCUGAGGCAGGAGCUGGCGGCCGUCAGCCAAAGACAAGCUGCAGUGGCCAAAGAAAUACACCUUUGGCGAGAAAAGAUGGUGGCCCUGUGCAGUGACGUGGCCUGGCCCAUGAGUCAUGAAUGCCUAUCUUUUAGGAAGUGCAUAAGAUCAUGCAGCAGGCCCUGAAACUCUACAGUGAAGAUCACAUUGAACUGGUGGAUUAUGCCCUGGAGUCCUCAGGGGCCAGCAUCCUCAGUAGCCAAAGCUUAGAGACCUAUGGCACCAGGAUGUCUGUUAUCAGUCUGUUUGGCAUAACCUUGUGGUACCAUUUCCAGAUCCAAAGAGCCAUCCACCAGCCAAAUGUCUACCCUGGCAAGUGCUGGGCAUUUCAGGGCUCCCAGGGCUCCACCUCAUUGCUGUCACCUUGGAGCAUGUGCCCAAAGCCCUGUACCUAAUCAGCAAACAUCACCAGCACUCCCAAAGGCUUUGUCAUCUUGGUGAGUACCUGGACCUUGCAGUUCUUUCUAAAACCGAGGAAAGCCCUUUCUUAACAGCAGCGUUUCGAGGUGAGGAAUGGAAGGAUCUGCCCAUCGUGCAGACGGGACAUCGAGUUUCUUCUCUUGACUCUUUGGGGCCAGCCCUUCUGCUCCUCCCCCUGUUCUUAGGAAGGAGCCAGGAAAAGACAAUGACAGCAGCAAGAACAGCCAAGAUUGUAAUUUGUCUUAGAGUUGGGAAGGGAAGGGGAUCACCUUUUCCUACACAGUCAUCUACUGAGAAGAGAGAUGGAACAUCUACGUAAGGUGGAAUUGGGAGAAAAGAUGGAGCUAGAAGAGGUCAAAUAUGCAAGGGAGAGAGGGAGGUAGUUCCCAGGUGCCUGGCCAGCACACCAACUUCAAGAAGAGUUCCCUCAGGUAAGAAGAGCCAGAGGGAGCCCAAGCCACCUUCUCCAUCACAACUGCCCAUGGCAACCAAGGGCUUCUGCCGCUGCCAUGUGUGCAUUUCUUUCCUGCCUCCAUUUUUGAGUGGAGACAUCACUCUUUUGCUUUCUUUUCCCACAAAGGUGAGAAUUUCCUGUCCUUAGCACUAUCUCUCCCCCUUCUACCAUAACCUGGGUUGCUGAUGCCUUCACUCUCUGAGAACAGGAACUAGGGAGGGUCAACAUGAGUCUCAGAGAAGGCCUGGAACACUGAGGCCUGAAGCUGGGCAUGGACAACCCCUCUCAGCCAUGUUUCUCUUUUAACUAGCCCCAGGGCCCAUGGUUCUUAGAGCGAGCCGCAUGGCCCAGCAACAGCGCAGGGAGCCUCUUGGGUGAAAUGCCUGUGAGUGACGAGACAGAUUUAGCUGACUCUUAGCUCCUCUCAUACCUCAUCAUGGUGGUUUAAUUUGGAAAGAGGCCCUCCUUGGCUCAGGGUACCUCUGGCUUUUUUGAAUCCUGAACCCAAAGUUAAAAACAAAACAAAACAAAAGAAAAACAAACAAUAACAACAACAAAAAAAAAACAAAACUCUUCAUCUGUUUAAGGAAUAAGAACAGGAACAGAGGGCUCUGGGUAUCAUUUCUUUUCACCCCAGAAGUCUCCAGGAAAGUCUCAUUCAAAUCCUGUCCUUCCCCUCUCCCUAUCUUUUCCCCCCUUCUUCUUUUUCACUCUCUUAUCUUUGCUUCUCAUGCUUGGUAACCCCUAUGACGCUGAGGAGAAAAUCCAGAAGUGGGAAAUGCCUCUCACCAGCUGCUCACCUGGACAAAGUCACCUAUAACAUCUCUGAAUGCUCCUCAAGAUACUUCUCUGAGGAUGACUGUGCAGGUUGGCUCUUUCACCUGUUCCACUGCUGCUUCAGAAAUACCUGGUACCACCUGACCACAGCUGCCUCCCUGCAGGACCUCUUUGU
This is a non-coding RNA of Phascolarctos cinereus (koala), 4404 nucleotides long. NCBI's taxonomy places the organism in Eukaryota, Metazoa, Chordata, Mammalia, Diprotodontia, Phascolarctidae. The record is from RefSeq and is a predicted model, not a curated record.